RNAcentral lists this ribosomal RNA (447 nucleotides) under uncultured bacterium. Its description in RNAcentral is "bacterial SSU rRNA". It matches the Rfam family "Bacterial small subunit ribosomal RNA", at positions 96 to 518 of the family's 1533-position model. The record is from RNAcentral.
UGGCGGACGGGUGAGUAACGCGUGGGUAACCUACCCUAAAUCCUGGGGGCAACAGGCUGGAAACGGCUGCUAAUACCGGAUACUCUCUUGAAGCGGCAUCGCUUUAAGAGGAAAGGUGGCCUCUUCUAUGCUACCGAUAAAGGAUGGACCCGCGUCUGAUUAGCUAGUUGGUAAGGUAACGGCUUACCAAGGCUACGAUCAGUAGCCGGCCUGAGAGGGUGACCGGCCACGACUGGGACUGAGACACGGCCCAGACUCCUACGGGAGGCAGCAGUGGGGAAUCUUCCGCAAUGGGCGAAAGCCUGACGGAGCAACGCCGCGUGAAUUGAAGAAGGCCUUCGGGUCGUAAAGUUCUGUUGAAAGGGAAGAAGUCUUUUCAUGUGAAUAAUGUGAGAAGGUGACGGUACCUUUUGAGGAAGCUCCGGCUAACUACGUGCCAGCAGCGGC